Molecule: long non-coding RNA, 1492 nt
Filed under: Numida meleagris (helmeted guineafowl)
Lineage: Eukaryota; Metazoa; Chordata; Aves; Galliformes; Numididae
Description: lncRNA (ENSNMEG00000009503.1)
Source: RNAcentral
AUGCAAAUAUUUGGCGUGGGAUGGCAAGACCCUAUGCAAAGCACCAGCCAGGAGGUUAGCACAGGUUUUAGUCAGACUUUCUUUUCUUUCCUGCAAGGGCUUGAGAAGCAGCCUCAGCCAGGGGAUGCUGCCCAACAAGACAGGCACUGCACAAGUAAUCCUCCCACCUACUUAAAAAAGAGAAAUGCUCUGCACUGGAGGUGCAGCCUCCAGGCAGAUCUGACCUGUCCAGGAGAUGGACUUGGAUCAUCACAACUGAAAAUACUGCAGCUGAGCUGUUCUCAAAGUGCACAUAGGCCAUCAGCUUUGGCUACCUGGAAAAGGACACAUAGACCAGACCUAGUGUCAUGGUUUUAUGAUUUUCGGUUAUUGGUACUCCACAUCAUAACAUCAUGUAGUGAAUGUACCUGGUUCUCAGAAGAGAAGGACUACUACAUUCCCCAUGGCACUUUGCUCCUCUGUUAUCAUUUUCCAGCUGGAGGGAAAAGAUAAAAGCUCGCAGUAUAAAAACUUGCAGAUCACAAGACCUUGUCCCUUUUUCCUCCGUCUCUCGUCUUGGCAGCACCUCGCUCUCCAGCUGUCUUAUCAUCGGUAGUAGAGUAAGGCCUACCUUGAUUUUGGGACAUUCUCUCUCUCUGUAUUGGAUUUAUCAGCUUAAAUUGUAAUUAUAUUGUAUUAUAGUGUGUUGUUUUGCAUUCCAAUAUCUUAUUUAGUAAAUUAGUUUGUUUCUCCUCAGAUUGUUGCUGCUGUUCUUUGCUCUCAGGGCCAUCUCCUUACCCUUUUUUCCCUUUUCCCUUUUCCUGGGGCGUGGACCCAUGGAUCCCCCAUCCCCUUUGUCACAGAACCUGGCCGAAUGCCCAUAAACCGUUGACACCUAGAAAGACGCAGGCUGCAGCGAUUAUGUUUGAUGAUGGGCGGCCUUGUAUGGCCACUUGGAUCUCAGACAUCUCCUGCAGGUGUUGUCUGACACUCAUCUUCCCUGCACAAUAUUAUUUGCUUUUUCCAGGGUGCCCAUAGCCUCAGGGACACUCUGAGUGGGACCUUGCAGUCCUCUGGACACAUUUUUCUUCUCCACUUCUGCCUCUCUAGCGCACAGAUUCCAUUGUUUAAUCUUUUUUCCACUUUGGGACCAACCAAAGCAUAUUUCAUUCUGCUGAUCUCCUUUUCCACUGCUGAUCUUCUACAUUAUCCCCUUAGCAUGAUGCGUUUUGGAGGCAGGAUACAUCGUUACCUUGUGGUACACUAGGGCUUUCUUACUGCACUUUGUUCCCCAUUUAACAGCACUUUCAUUACCAAGGUAAUACUUUCACUGAUGAGGAUGUCUGUGCUAAGAGCGUGGGAAGCAUGGCCCUGGACCCCGCACAGGGCAUCAACACAGAGCAGACCCCCUGCUGCUUCUGAGGCUGAGUGCAAGAGUGAAAGAAUUUAAUUGCCAGCAUUUAUGGGAAAUUGCUGAGCACAAGCCCAGCUGUGGUAAAUGUCAGAGUAUGCA